GACGAACGCUGGCGGCGUGCUUAACACAUGCAAGUCGAACGGAAAGGCCCUGCUCUUGUUGGGUUCUCGUGUGGCGCACGGGUGAGUAACACGUGAGUAACCCGCCCUUGACUUUCGGAUAACUUCAGGAAACUGGGGCUAAUACCGGAUAUGAGCUCCUGCUGCAUGGUGGGGGUUGGAAAGUUUCGACGGUUGGGGAUGGACUCGAGGCUUAUCCGCUUGUUGGUGAGGUAGUGGCUUACCAAGGCUUUGACGGGUAGCCCACCUGAGAGGGUGACCGGCGACAAUGGUACUGCGAGACGGCGCAGAAGCCUACGGGACGCAGCAGGCGGGAAUAUGACACAAUGGGCGGAAGCGUGAGACAGCAACGCCGCGUGCGUGAAGACGGCUUACGGGUUGAAAACCGCUUUCGACGGUGACGAAGCGUGAGUGACGGUAAUGGGUAAAGAAGCACCGGCUAACUACGUG
Molecule: ribosomal RNA, 468 nt
Filed under: uncultured bacterium
Lineage: Bacteria
Description: partial 16S ribosomal RNA
Rfam family: Bacterial small subunit ribosomal RNA
Source: RNAcentral